This 158-nucleotide ribosomal RNA is filed under the name Paravahlkampfia ustiana. Its description in RNAcentral is "5.8S ribosomal RNA". It matches the Rfam family "5.8S ribosomal RNA". From Rfam's summary of the family: 5.8S ribosomal RNA (5.8S rRNA) is a component of the large subunit of the eukaryotic ribosome. It is transcribed by RNA polymerase I as part of the 45S precursor that also contains 18S and 28S rRNA. Lineage: Eukaryota; Heterolobosea; Eutetramitea. The record is from RNAcentral.
AAUUUCUACAAUGGAUGCCUAGACUCUCAUUUCGAAGAAGAACAUAGUGAAACAUGAUAGUCAGUGUGAAUUGCAAAUAUACUUGGAUCACUAGGUUUUUGAACGCGAACCCGUGCUCUUUUUGAGCAUAUGUGAUUGACUGUCAGUACAUUUAAAUC